AUGAACACAUCCAUUUGGGACAUGAGUUCUUCGUCAUCUUCAUCUGGCGACGAUGAACUCAUACUUGCAGCAUUCGCCGAGCGCGAGGAGGAAGAAAGGAAGAACGCUCGACGCCAUGGCGGUUCCAAGUAUGGACGUCAGUCAAUCGAUCGAGGAAGAGAUGCCGGAUUUCUUCUUCUGUGGGACGACUACUUUAAAGAAGUUCCUCGCUUUCCCGAACAUUUGUUUCGACGAAGAUUUAGAAUGUCGCGUACUUUGUUCAACCGCAUAGCUGAUGGUAUAUUUGACAUGACUAUGAUGAUUAUUUUACGCAAAAAAGAAGUGCUUCUGGAGCUCUUGGGUUACAUCCUUUGCAAAAGAUGA
Molecule: ribosomal RNA, 363 nt
Filed under: Triticum aestivum (bread wheat)
Lineage: Eukaryota; Viridiplantae; Streptophyta; Magnoliopsida; Poales; Poaceae
Description: partial small subunit ribosomal RNA
Source: RNAcentral